GUGGGUGUAAAAUAAAAGAAAAAUAUGUAUGGGUUGAUCUUAAAAGAGGUCUAGCAUUUUGAGUUUUUAUCUAAUUUCUCUCUAUUAUAUAAGCAUACAACUGAUACAAAUUGAAAUACACACAUGAAAAUUCAAAAUUAAAACAUUGGAUUAAACGGAACAGGCGUUAUCUGUAAUGAUCACGUGAUGCAGCGGAUAAGAAGUUACAAAGAAGUUUGCCAAACAAUUCAAGCUGCAGCUAUGUAUGGACUUGGAGGAGCUCUCUCUGAUAGAAGAUCUUUUGAAACUGGUACUGGUGUUGGUCCAGAUUUCGGAGGUGGCGGUGGUGAAGGUUUCGGGGCAUAAUCAUUAUAUUCAUACUUCAUAAACCACGUUUUCUGUAAACCUGCAUAUACUAUGUAAAAAUUAAACUUGAAUUAGUUGUGUGAUUAUGAAUUUAUAAAUCCUAGCGAGUAGCUAGAUCGAUUAGAUACCAGCCAACGUAUAUUUAACGAAUUUGAAAUAGUAAGAUAACAGCUAAUAAUUAUAAUUUUUUGUAAAACAUUAUAAGCUGAAUAACAAUCUCUAGAGUGUACCUUUUGAACCGAAAAGAAUCGAAAAAAUUCCUGAACUAUACUGAUCGAAUUCUUAUCAUCAAAGCAUAAUUGUAACACUUAACCAGAAAAUUAGAGUUUACCCAUGUAGUUUGGCUGUGAAAUAUAAUGUUAUAGGUACAUGCUCUCAAUGAAGCAUGAAUUAUUAGCACUAGAUUGAUCUCCAAGUGGAAAGCUUUCUGAAAGCUAGAGGUUUACAAGAACCACAUGAUAUUCAUUCAACCAAC
Molecule: long non-coding RNA, 820 nt
Filed under: Fragaria vesca (wild strawberry)
Lineage: Eukaryota; Viridiplantae; Streptophyta; Magnoliopsida; Rosales; Rosaceae
Description: long non-coding RNA (FVES_LNC003008)
Source: RNAcentral